GACGAACGCUGGCGGCGUGCUUAACACAUGCAAGUCGAACGGAAAGGCCCUGCUUUUGUGGGGUGCUCGAGUGGCGAACGGGUGAGUAACACGUGAGUCACCUGCCCUUGACUUUGGGAUAACUUCAGGAAACUGGGGCUAAUACCGGAUAGGAGCUCCUGCUGCAUGGUGGGGGUUGGAAAGUUUCGGCGGUUGGGGAUGGACUCGCGGCUUAUCAGCUUGUUGGUGGGGUAGUGGCUUACCAAGGGUUUGACGGGUAGCCGGCCUGAGAGGGUGACCGGCCACAUUGGGACUGGGAUACGGCCCAGACGCCUACGGGAGGCAGCAGUGGGGAAUAUUGGACAAUGGGUGGAAGCCUGAGGCAGCAACGCCGUGUGCGGGAUGAGGGGCUUCGGGUUGUAAACCGCUUUCGCUCAAGACGAAGCUUUGUGUGACGGUAGUGGGUAAAGAAGCACCGGCUAACUACGUG
RNAcentral lists this ribosomal RNA (469 nucleotides) under uncultured bacterium. RNAcentral describes it as "partial 16S ribosomal RNA". It matches the Rfam family "Bacterial small subunit ribosomal RNA", at positions 28 to 507 of the family's 1533-position model. The record is from RNAcentral.